RNAcentral lists this ribosomal RNA (253 nucleotides) under uncultured bacterium. RNAcentral describes it as "partial 16S ribosomal RNA". It matches the Rfam family "Bacterial small subunit ribosomal RNA", at positions 524 to 776 of the family's 1533-position model. The record is from RNAcentral.
UACGUAGGCAGCAAGCGUUGUUCGGAGUUACUGGGCGUAAAGGGUGCGUAGGCGGUCCUGUAAGUAUGGUGUGAAAUCUCCCGGCUUAACUGGGAGGGUGCGCUAUAGACUGCGGGACUAGAGGGUGGGAGAGGAAAGUGGAAUUCCUGGUGUAGCGGCGAAAUGCGUAGAUAUCAGGAGGAACACCGGUGGUGUAAACGGCUUUCUGGACCAUUUCUGACGCUGAGGCACGAAAGCGUGGGUAGCAAACAGG